CGUCCUGCCUAUCAAUCGCACUAUUUAUUUGGCCGAACGAAAGCCUGAAUCAGGUCACGAGUGCCCUUCAAUAAUUGAUCGCGUUAGGGUUUGGUGUAUUGCUUGCUUCUCUUUCUGCACCAAAUCCUUAAUUCCGUAGCAGCCAUGUCUUCCAAGCAAGGCGGAAAAUUGAAGCCCUUGAAGCAACCCAAAGGCGAUAAGAAAGAGUACGACGAGAUUGAUAUAGCUAACAUUCAAAAGAAGAAAGAGGAGGAAAAGGCACUAAAAGAGCUUAAAGCCAAGGCCCAGCAGAAAGGGGCCUUUGGAGGAUCUGGCCUCAAGAAAAGUGGGAAGAAAUGAGAGAUUUGAACCAAAUCAAAAUACAACGUACAGAUUCUUAUGGUGUGAUUACAAAUUAAACUAUUAUCCAUCUUUUGUCUAGUUGGUGGGGUCUAUGAUAAUUACCUUUGAAGGUUGCUGUGGUCUAGUCUAUUUAUAAAUCCGACUUCUUAACUUUCAUGUUAUGUAAAAACCAGGUAAUUCUUAA
Long non-coding RNA from Tripterygium wilfordii, 526 nucleotides. RefSeq lists it as uncharacterized. The record is from RefSeq and is a predicted model, not a curated record. NCBI's taxonomy places the organism in Eukaryota, Viridiplantae, Streptophyta, Magnoliopsida, Celastrales, Celastraceae. The transcript is spliced from 4 exons.